AGCUACAUAUACACAUAUAUAAAUAGCUGCAGUCUAAUUUUCUCAAUUAGAUCCCCAAUAUGGUAGUCAACCAUCUCAUGAUCUGAAGACCUUUGAUAAGCAAGAACCCAGCACUCCUUCCAGAAGAAGCCCAUUCCACUUGGCCAAGCAAAACAGGAUAACUCUACAGAUAAAGGUAGUGCCAUGUAUUUGGAAAGACCUUUGGCUUUGGGAUCAGGCAGGACCUGGGUUUGAAUCCUUCCUUUCGCAUUUUCUAUGGAGGUUUGUAAUUCUCUUUGACUCUCAAUUUUCUCUGUUACAAAAUGGGGGGGGGGGGGGGAAUAAUGACUAUAGUAUGUACUUUAUCAUGCCCAGUUGCUGUAAGGAUUAAAUUAAAUCAAGUCUCUGUGUAAACUUUAAGUGUU
RNAcentral lists this long non-coding RNA (404 nucleotides) under Monodelphis domestica (gray short-tailed opossum). Its description in RNAcentral is "lncRNA (ENSMODG00000050593.1)". Lineage: Eukaryota; Metazoa; Chordata; Mammalia; Didelphimorphia; Didelphidae. The record is from RNAcentral.